This 327-nucleotide ribosomal RNA is filed under the name uncultured Armatimonadota bacterium. RNAcentral's name for it is "bacterial SSU rRNA". It matches the Rfam family "Bacterial small subunit ribosomal RNA", at positions 28 to 351 of the family's 1533-position model. The record is from RNAcentral. Lineage: Bacteria; Bacillati; Armatimonadota.
GACGAACGCUAGCGGCGUGCCUAAGAAAUGCAAGUCGAGCGAGAUUAGAAACUUCGGUUUCGAAGUCUAGCGGCGAACGGUCGCGUAACACGUAAGCAACCUGCCCUGGAGUGUGGGAUAGCCCUUCGAAAGAGGGAUUAAUACCUCAUGUGGAUAUGAAUUGGCAUCUAAUCAUAUCUAAAGCAGCAAUGCGCUCUAGGAUGGGCUUGCGGCCUAUCAGCUAGUUGGUGGGGUAAAGGCCUACCAAGGCGACGACGGGUAGCUGGUCUGAGAGGAUGAUCAGCCGGACUGGGACUGAGACACGGCCCAGACUCCUACGGGAGGCAG